AGUCGAACGAGUUCUCGUUGAUGAUCGGUGCUUGCACCGAGAUUCAACAUGGAACGAGUGGCGGACGGGUGAGUAACACGUGGGUAACCUGCCCUUAAGUGGGGGAUAACAUUUGGAAACAGAUGCUAAUACCGCAUAGAUCCAAGAACCGCAUGGUUCUUGGCUGAAAGAUGGCGUAAGCUAUCGCUUUUGGAUGGACCCGCGGCGUAUUAGCUAGUUGGUGAGGUAACGGCUCACCAAGGCGAUGAUACGUAGCCGAACUGAGAGGUUGAUCGGCCACAUUGGGACUGAGACACGGCCCAAACUCCUACGGGAGGCAGCAGUAGGGAAUCUUCCACAAUGGACGCAAGUCUGAUGGAGCAACGCCGCGUGAGUGAAGAAGGCUUUCGGGUCGUAAAACUCUGUUGUUGGAGAAGAAUGGUCGGCAGAGUAACUGUUGUCGGCGUGACGGUAUCCAACCAGAAAGCCACGGCUAACUACGUGCCAGCAGCCGCGGUAAUACGUAGGUGGCAAGCGUUAUCCGGAUUUAUUGGGCGUAAAGCGAGCGCAGGCGGUUUUUUAAGUCUGAUGUGAAAGCCCUCGGCUUAACCGAGGAAGCGCAUCGGAAACUGGGAAACUUGAGUGCAGAAGAGGACAGUGGAACUCCAUGUGUAGCGGUGAAAUGCGUAGAUAUAUGGAAGAACACCAGUGGCGAAGGCGGCUGUCUGGUCUGUAACUGACGCUGAGGCUCGAAAGCAUGGGUAGCGAACAGGAUUAGAUA
This 760-nucleotide ribosomal RNA is filed under the name Lactobacillus casei group sp. RNAcentral's name for it is "bacterial SSU rRNA". It matches the Rfam family "Bacterial small subunit ribosomal RNA", at positions 60 to 784 of the family's 1533-position model. The record is from RNAcentral. Lineage: Bacteria; Bacillati; Bacillota; Bacilli; Lactobacillales; Lactobacillaceae.